Molecule: long non-coding RNA, 324 nt
Filed under: Mytilus galloprovincialis (Mediterranean mussel)
Lineage: Eukaryota; Metazoa; Mollusca; Bivalvia; Mytilida; Mytilidae
Source: RNAcentral
CCCAAAAAUAAAUCCCAGCAGGAUAUACAUGCACCAAUUCAAAUUGCACUGCCACUGGGAUUCCUGGGUUAUUUAUGCAAAAGGAUACAUGUCAUGUUCUCCUUUCUGUUAAUUAAUUUGCUGUCUCUGUACUUCCAACUAGUAUUGCUGAGUAAAUUAUGGUAACUGGAAUAUCUGCAUGCAAUCUGUUUCGUUGGCAGCUCCAUUUAAAAAUAUCAGUAUAUCCCCUAAAAGUAUCAAAAAAAUCCACAAAGAAUCAUUUGUUCAAUACGUUUUGAAGCAACAAAUUCAAUAGAAAUAUUAUUGCAUGUUUAUACAGUAGAU